AGGUUCAAUGGUGCGUGUUUUUCUAAUGGCCGCCUUCCCACUGGAGGUUUUGAUCCACAGCAGUUUAAAAGGUGGACAGAGCAAAACGGACAUCGGCGCAGAGCGAAGAACUGCCCUUGAUAAGGACACUAUGACAGCCAUAUACAGCAUUUUGCAGUCCCUUCGUCAUCCAUGGUCUUCCUGUAUACUUAUCUUUCCUGUUGACUUC
Molecule: long non-coding RNA, 208 nt
Organism: Oreochromis aureus
Lineage: Eukaryota; Metazoa; Chordata; Actinopteri; Cichliformes; Cichlidae
Exons: 3
Source: RefSeq, a predicted model, not a curated record